This 227-nucleotide unclassified non-coding RNA is filed under the name Hevea brasiliensis (rubber tree). Lineage: Eukaryota; Viridiplantae; Streptophyta; Magnoliopsida; Malpighiales; Euphorbiaceae. The record is from RNAcentral.
UGGAGAGCCAAGUUGGUGCGUGAUUAUUUCAGUAAUCCCUGGUCUGCAAUUUCUCUGGCAGCAGCAAUCUUCGUCCUGCUGCUAACCAUAUUGCAGUCAGUCUUUGCAAUCUUAGCUUAUGUCCGUCCACGAUAAAGUCCAAGUUUACGAGGUCACAAAUUGAAGAGUAUUGUGUGUUGAAGUGGUGUCAGUGGAGGGGAUGAUUACUUCAGUAAUUCACUGUAGUG